Molecule: long non-coding RNA, 1046 nt
Organism: Lepidothrix coronata (blue-crowned manakin)
Lineage: Eukaryota; Metazoa; Chordata; Aves; Passeriformes; Pipridae
Exons: 3
Source: RefSeq, a predicted model, not a curated record
AACCUGUUCCAGUGCCUGAUCACCCUCACAGGGAAGAAUUUCUUCCUGAUAUUCAGUCUAAACUUACUCUCAGUUUGAAGCUGUUCCCUCUUGUCCCAUCACUUCCCACCUUUGUCCAAAGUCCCUCUGCAGCUCUCUUGUAGACCUUUAGGCACUGGAAGGGGCUGUAAGGUCUCCUGGAGCCUUCUCUUCUCCAGCUGAACACCCCCAGCUCUCCCAGCCAGUCUCCACAGCAGAGGGACUCCAGCCCUCUCAGCAUCUUCAUGGCCACCUCUGGAUUCGCUCCAGUAGGUCCACUUUGGAAAAGUUCAAAAUGCUGGGCGUGGGUUUUGAAGUUUUGCAGCCUGAGAUUUGCUUGAACUGUGAGGUUGGCAGUUUUUUCCUAGUGAUGAUUAGACGGAUAGAAGCAUUCUGCAGAGGAUUAGUCAAUAGUGGCGUGUUCCUAGAAGAUAUUUAAUCGUUUAUACUUGCUUCAGCCAAGCACAAAGAAAGGUCUAAUAUUUACCAUCUGGAGAGAAAGGAACAAUUAUAAAGUAACUCACUAAACUUUCACAAAAGCUUAGAAAUUUAACAAAAUAGGUGCGUGGGACUUCUCAACUAAAACUGGUCAGAGAUAUACAUUAACAAUUUGAGGCAUGCAAAGCAUUUCAGGAAAAACAGUUCAAGCAUAUAUUUUACAGGGAUUUUUGGAGUGAAGCUUUGACCUUUUGGAUUUUUUUUAAUUCUCUCUCUUGCUGUGUUUUGCUUUUCUUGCCUUUUUACGUUCUGAUGAGAAGUUCUGGAGCAGCAGCUGCUCUUCGUGGUGUGUUUCUGUUGAAGUUCAAGGGGCUCAGAGGUACUUGGAACUGGUGGCUGUGUCUGGGUAUAAUUCUGGUGUGUCAGUGCUGGGUUAGUGGUUGGACUCGAUCUUAGAGGUCUUUUCCAACCUUUGUGAGUCUGUGAGAAGCUGUAGUGGAUGUUUGGGAGUGAGGUGGUGCAGUGAUGAGGAACCCAGGACCAUAACUGCAUGGACAGAUUGUCUCCUGGCAACCCUUGUGAUUCUGUGA